UACGUAGGGGACAAGCGUUGUCCGGAAUUAUUGGGCGUAAAGAGCGUGUAGGCGGCCAGACAGGUCCGUUGUGAAAACUCGAGGCUCAACCUCGAGACGUCGAUGGAAACCGUCUGGCUAGAGUCCGGAAGAGGAGUGUGGAAUUCCUGGUGUAGCGGUGAAAUGCGCAGAUAUCAGGAAGAACACCUAUGGCGAAGGCAGCACUCUGGGACGGUACUGACGCUGAGACGCGAAAGCGUGGGGAGCGAACAGG
Molecule: ribosomal RNA, 253 nt
Filed under: uncultured bacterium
Lineage: Bacteria
Description: partial 16S ribosomal RNA
Rfam family: Bacterial small subunit ribosomal RNA
Source: RNAcentral